This 228-nucleotide ribosomal RNA is filed under the name Triticum aestivum (bread wheat). RNAcentral's name for it is "partial small subunit ribosomal RNA". Lineage: Eukaryota; Viridiplantae; Streptophyta; Magnoliopsida; Poales; Poaceae. The record is from RNAcentral.
AUGAAAGACACUGAAUCAAUUGAUGACUUUGCUCUCAGGAUGACAAGCAUCGCUAAUGGGAUAAGAGGACUUGGAGAAAAGUUUGAUGAGACUAAUGCUGUCAAGAAAAUUCUUCGAACGGUCCCAUCAAAGUUUCUUCAGAUUGCAUUUGCCAUAGAACAAUUUGGUGAUUUCAAGACGAUGAUCAUGGAGGAAGUCAUAGGGAGAUUGAAGGUUCAUGAGGAAUGA